Molecule: non-coding RNA, 30 nt
Filed under: Homo sapiens (human)
Lineage: Eukaryota; Metazoa; Chordata; Mammalia; Primates; Hominidae
Source: RNAcentral
UCAAUGGUAGGAAGGAAAGAUGAUGUUGCA